CCCACGUUUCUCUCCCCACUUUGCCUGGUUUCCUCCAGAAAAAAGAAACAAUUCAUCUACACCUCGGACUAGAUUCGUUUGGCAGCCGGAGAUUUGCAACAAAAAAGGGAGACGAAGAGGAUAGGGUGAAAUCGGCGGCACCGCCGCCGCCGCUACCGGGCACGAGCAUGGAGGCGGCCGGGAUGGUGUGGUGCCGCCGCCGCUACGGGACACAAGCACGGAGGCGGCUGGGAGUGUCGUGAGGGAGUUGGGAGAGGAACAGGGGGAGACGAUGGCGGCCUGAGGGUGCGGUGCUGGGCGCCAUGGGGUUCAUCAUCUCGCCGGCCUUGAGUGUCGCCGCUACGGGGCACGAGCAUGGAGGCGGCCGGGAUGGUGUGGUGCCGCCGCCGCUACGGGACACGAGCACGGAGGCGGCUGGGAUAGUGUGCUUAGGGAGUUGGGAGAGGAACAGGGGGAGACGAUGGCGGCCUGAGGGGGCGGCGCUGGGCGCCAUGGGGUUCAACAUCUCGCCGGCCUUGACUCGCGCACGUCUCGUUCCGCUCAGGGCACAUCCUGCCUCAGCAGCCACACCUGUCCCUCCAAGCACAGAGCUUGCUGCCCCCACCCCCGUACAAUGAAUGAGCAUGCCAAGGAGAGGAGCUCCCUGCGUAUGGGAGACCAGCCGCUCCCCAAUCUUCAGAUCUGACCAACGUGGGAGGAAUUGUUGGAGAACAACCAAAUCCAAAUGCCUCACCGAUGAGCACCAUCAUUACCUGAAGUUUGGAGAGUAUUACUAAUUGCUUUCUAUUCAUUAUUGCCUGAAGCGGGAGAACAAUUUAGUUAUUUCUCCGAAGUUUGCAAUGGAUCAACCUUGAAGACACUCGGAACAUUUACUUAGAGUGAAGACUCUCGCGGCGCAAUUGCCACUGUCCCGACCUCGCCGAUUGUUGACCUCGCUGGCUUGACAGCGUCCUUUGUGAUUCUGAACAUAGGUGCUACUCUCCUGGACACCGCCGACUCAGGUCCUACUCUCCUAGACGCCGCCAACUCAGGUGCCAUCUCCGUCCAAGAUUUCAUAAUAAUUUUUUAUGCAUCAAGACAUUCUUAUGUCUACAUGUAGCUUCUAUCAGGUUAUAUCUACAUGUAGCAUUGGAGAAUAUUAUGCUGAGUGGGCAAUAUCGGUGUUUGUCUGCACGCAUUAUUAUAUCCUCUUCUUAUCUCCCCCGCUUGUGCCACCGGAGAAUAUCAAGGAUGUGGCGUCGGCACUGAGCUGCCACUGGUAGGCAAGGGCAUGUGGCCUGGUUGUGAACGAUGAGAUUGGGGUCGGCACACACCAAAGCGACACACAUAGGCAGAGUUAUAUAAAAAAUAAGAAAUCCAUCUAAUUCUACUUGACAACCUUCCAACACGAGGUAACAUCAUUUGUGGCAUGGGUAUAUCUUAUAUCUACUAAAUAUCACUUCUAGAUAUUGGUGUUACGUACCAAGUGUAUACAUCUAUAUUGCCAAUGCUUCUGCGCUUUUGAUAAUUAGUCAAUAUUUUCAUGUAUUUGUUACAACAGUAUGGUGUUAGCAAGCGUAUUGUCUUAUGAAAAAUUGAUGAUUGCAUCUGCACUUCGUAUCUAAUUGUGUUAUUUCAGAGCUAAUAUUUUUACUAAUUAUUCUAUUCUUUCCACUUCUUGUAUAAACAGACCAGGACCAGUAUUCUGAACCUCAUACCAUUAAGGGCAUAUCUGUAUUCUAAAGAAAAUUCAUACACCUGGUAAUUCUUUCUUGACAUGGCUAUUCCAUCGAGGUUUAAUCCUAUGAUACACAACUAAUAGUUUGUUGGUAUGCAUAACUAUCUUGCCAAAGGUAUUGCCUGUGUAUAUCACUUUGUAGUUGAAAGUGUUUGCUGCAAUCAUUAUGAGCAUCAUGUUUGCCUUUUUGUGGAAACAUAGUGUAGAACUCUUCUUGCUACUAUCGUCAACUCUCAACGAGUCAGUGAUGGACAAGAUUAUUAUUCAUGUAUUUGAACAAUUGAUUCAGGGUCUAUUCAUAGAUGCGUUAAUUUGUUUUUGUAUGACUCCUUUGUUCCAUCAAUGUUUUUUACAUCCAAAUGAACUACACUAUUCUUAUACAAUCAAAUUAGAAUAUUUUGAUUUUUUAUGAUCACUUAAAUAAAUGAAUAUCCACGGUUAUUAGGGAGGGAUGGAGAGGGAGAGCGAGAUGGAGAGAUAGAGAGAGAGCACAUUUAAUAUUUGACAGCUUCCCUUACUAAAUCACCUCUCUGAUGGAGCUGCAGUUUUGCAUGUUUAAAAUGAAUGAGUAUGUAAAGAUUAGCGACAUUUUCUUAAAUGCACCUGAAAUAUUUGCAUAAAAUGCUUUCCUAGGGCUGGUCAACUCUUUUUAUUUCUGUCAUAGUACACAUGUCUAACACCACAAAUUGCCAUAUGGUUUUCAAUGGUACAUGAGCUGUGAGUUGCCCUAUUAUUUUAAGAGUUCAUAAGUUGGGUUGACUGUGAGACUCUAAAUACAUGAUACAUGGUCUUGUACAAUUUAUAUUACUGUCCAUCGAAGUGUUUUAUACUCGUUAUUAAAGUUGCAGGUUAUUCCUUUGAAUGAUCUAAGAAAUAUAUUUGGAUUAGGGAAGCAUGAAGCACAAGGAAUCACCUCAGAUAUUGAAUCUCCAGCAUACAGAAAUAAGCUUAUAAAAUCCUUUAGUACUGAUUUGGCUGCUACUCCUAACAAAGUAUCAUUCCUCCAAAAUCUCUGUCAGGAGUUACAGUUUGAUCCUGAACUUGCUAGCAAGAUGCAUAAAGAUACCAAGCUGACACUUGUUUUUUGUAUUGCAUCAUUAAUUUUACAGCAUAGUUCUAUGUUAGCUCGAAAUUUGAUCUUGCUCCUGCUAGCAAGAUGUGUACCAUAUUAGCUACAGUUUGAAGGAUAUAAUCCUUUUGUUUCAAGACUGAUGGUUAAACAUUCCUCCAGUGUGAAAGUUAUUAUUUUCUGUUCAAAUAUCUUCGUUACAUUCCUUCGGUGUGAAAGUUAUUAGUUUCAGUUUGAAGGAUAUAAUUUUA
Molecule: long non-coding RNA, 3037 nt
Organism: Triticum aestivum (bread wheat)
Lineage: Eukaryota; Viridiplantae; Streptophyta; Magnoliopsida; Poales; Poaceae
Exons: 3
Source: RefSeq, a predicted model, not a curated record